This 439-nucleotide ribosomal RNA is filed under the name uncultured bacterium. RNAcentral's name for it is "partial 16S ribosomal RNA". It matches the Rfam family "Bacterial small subunit ribosomal RNA", at positions 339 to 795 of the family's 1533-position model. The record is from RNAcentral.
CUACGGGAGGCUGCAGUGAGGAAUAUUGCACAAUGGGGGGAACCCUGAUGCAGCAACGCCGCGUGGAGGAUGACGCAUUUCGGUGUGUAAACUCCUUUUAUGUGUCAAGAAAAUGACGGUAGCAUAUGAAUAAGCACCGGCUAACUCCGUGCCAGCAGCCGCGGUAAUACGGAGGGUGCAAGCGUUACUCGGAAUCACUGGGCGUAAAGGACGCGUAGGCGGGUUGGAAAGUCAAGUGUGAAAUCCUACAGCUUAACUGUAGAACUGCACUUGAAACUUCUAAUCUAGAGUAUGGGAGGGGGAGAUGGAAUUAGUGGUGUAGGGGUAAAAUCCGUAGAUAUCACUAGGAAUACCUAAAGCGAAGGCGAUCUCCUGGAACAUUACUGACGCUAAGGCGUGAAAGCGUGGGGAGCAAACAGGAUUAGAUACCCGCGUAGUC